RNAcentral lists this ribosomal RNA (456 nucleotides) under uncultured bacterium. RNAcentral's name for it is "bacterial SSU rRNA". It matches the Rfam family "Bacterial small subunit ribosomal RNA", at positions 33 to 507 of the family's 1533-position model. The record is from RNAcentral.
ACGCUGGCGGCGUGCCUAACACAUGCAAGUCGAACGAGGUCCAUCCUUCGGGAGAAGACCUAGUGGCGAACGGGUGAGUAACACGUGAGGAACCUGCCCCGGAGACCGGGAUAACCACUCGAAAGAGUGGCUAAUACCGGAUGCCCCCAUCCUGCCGCAUGACGGGAUGAGGAAAUGGAUUCCGCUCCGGGAGGGCCUCGCGGCCUAUCAGCUAGUUGGUGAGGUAACGGCUCACCAAGGCAUCGACGGGUAGCUGGUCUGAGAGGACGAUCAGCCACACUGGGACUGAGACACGGCCCAGACUCCUACGGGAGGCAGCAGUGGGGAAUCUUGCGCAAUGGGCGAAAGCCUGACGCAGCAACGCCGCGUGGGGGAUGAAGGCUCUCGGGUUGUAAACCCCUUUCAGCAGGGACGAAAAUGACGGUACCUGCAGAAGAAGCUCCGGCUAACUACGUG